CAGAGCCCAGAAAACCAGGUAGUCAUCACUCCACCAUGUGAGACCAGGACAUUUUUGGCUCUGGAGUGGUAUGACCACAAUUCAUUGCCUGACCUAAAGGAGAUACACAAGAAAUGUCUCUGAAAUUGAAGGGUGAACUGAAGAUGAAUGAAUGUAAGAAGAAAGGAAGAAGUGAGUGGAUGAACUAAUGGAUUGAGUUGAAAAUGAAAACAAUGGAGGAUACCAAGAAUUCCAAACAGCCAUUGCAGGCAGUGAUGAGACAGUAUUCGCUACAAAGCAUGAGAGAGGAUACAUACUGGGAUUAAGAGGACACCAAAACGCAAGUAUAAUUCAAGCCCUGUCUCUCCCAGACCAUGUCAGCCUGUAACCCAAGGCGGUGAUGGCCUUUUCAGUAAAGAAAAGCAUCCCUGGGAUACGUCUUCACUGGAGUACUUGGCCAGGAGAGAGGAGGAAUCCUGGGAGGCUGAGGGGUUGCAAGAGUCUGUCAGAUCCAUAUGCAGCAUUUGGCUAUCUAAGGCUAUGGUUUGGAAACUUCAGUUUGCAGAAGAAUCCACCAGGGAUUUGGUGAUAGUCCAGAGUGGGACCCAGGAUUCUGCAAUCAGGAAGUGGCCAGCAAAGUUACAGAUCACCCUGGAUACCAAAGUCAAGACUGUAUGAAGUAGAGCCACAGCCAACCCUCAAUAACCAUAAAGCUUGAGCAAGGAAUGAAUGUCUUCUGUUUUAAGAGAUUUGGGAGUCAUUUGUUACUACAGCAAGCAAAACUAUUCCAUUCUGAUCAUACCAUGGCAUACCUGAUGAGACCCUUUGAUCUGAAGAAAAGCUCUAAUUAAUUGUGCGCCAGACAAAUGUUAGCCACUCACUUUUACAAGCACCAAUGGAAUAUAAAUAAUUUUCUUGAGUUUUUAUCAGCUUUGUCCUCUGGAGGUUCAGCUUUAUCCCCAAGCUAGUAAAGAGAUGACUAAAAAUUCCAGUUAUCAUAUCCAUACAAAAACAGGUCAUCUCUUUCUGAGUCUCUUCCAUACAGAAAAAUUUCCAAAAGCUCUGUUAAAGCUUCAAUAGCAUCUAAUGAUAGUGAUAAUGAAAAGCAUGGGCUAUAGAGUCACAGAAUCUGAGUCCAAAUACUGACUGGGUGAUCUUGGGCAAGGGACUUAGUCACUGUGUCUAUAUCUGUAAAAUGGGAAUAACAUUAGGAUCAUUGCCAAGAAUAAAUGAGUACGUACAAGGUUUUUGGACCGGUGCCUGGUACAUAGGACAUACUUUCUGCAUGUUAGUAGUGGACAUCUGUCAUGGCCAAUUUUCACCCAGAAUUACACAGGGAAGGGAAUUCUGGGAAGCAUAGUUCCAGCUUGGCCAGAUUGACAGCUAGUACAGGAUGGGAAGGUAGAUCACAGCAGGCUGUUCAGUUAGGCUAAGGAUUUGGGUGGGGGGACAGAGUAAAGUCUUUGAAUUUUUUUCUUUCCUUCUUCUUUUUUGUAGAG
Molecule: long non-coding RNA, 1478 nt
Organism: Hyaena hyaena (striped hyena)
Lineage: Eukaryota; Metazoa; Chordata; Mammalia; Carnivora; Hyaenidae
Exons: 4
Source: RefSeq, a predicted model, not a curated record